Molecule: long non-coding RNA, 1101 nt
Filed under: Anas platyrhynchos platyrhynchos (common mallard)
Lineage: Eukaryota; Metazoa; Chordata; Aves; Anseriformes; Anatidae
Description: lncRNA (ENSAPLG00000017358.1)
Source: RNAcentral
AGCUGUUGCAUUUCUUAGUCUUAAGAUGUUCACUCUGACACUGGAAUUUGAGAAAUGUCUGUUCAUUAAUAGCUUCAAGUUUACAGCAGCCCCUGAAUGCAGCCUUCCAUUCUGAACCCAACAAUUCAAUGGGAUGAACAAGCAACUAAAUCUACAUUAUGGUGGUGGUGUCAGUGAUGGAACAGGCUCCUGCAAAGUCUGACGAAUAUCUUUCCUUGCAGAUAUUCAAAGUGCUACUGGAUGUGACCAGGAGUAACCUGAUUUAACUUUGGCAUUAGCCUUGGUUUGAGUGAGAGAAUGGAGCAGAUCCGAUGACCCCCAGAAGUCCAUCCCCACUUGAAUUUUGCUAUGAUUCUGUAUGGAGACCUCAUUCUCUUGUAAAGACAAAUAAAUGAAAGAAGUUCUUGAGCACUUACUACUGUUCACACUAAAGAAGAUCAUGCAAAUGCCCGAGGACAAACUGCACAUUGGCUUUGGAGAAAGAAGACAUUGGGGAGUGGAUCCCCACAAGCUCCAGGGACCCUCCAUCUCCUCAGACACUCAGGAAAAAAAAAAAAAAAAAAAAAAAAGUAAAGCUCAGUGCCAUGCUUCAAUACAGGAGAAAGCGGAGUGUUGCUGAGCCUACACUACUACUGUUUUAGAAUUUGUCUUUUGACUGCUUUGUGUCAGGCAUUCAAUAUUAACUUCUUGACAACAAAAACACAACAAAUUGGGUAAGUAACUUUUUAUAGCAUGUACAGACAUUCCUCAAAACAUAAGCAUAGGAAAAGAAACCGCUAAGGUAGAAGGACAGACUGUAAUUUCUCACACAAGUUUCAGACAUUCACAAGAAGUGACAUUAGAAUUUGCAGCACCAUAAGGGCUUUGGGAAUGCUCAAAAGCAUUGGUAGCAGAGAAAACAGAAGAGAAUAUGAAUCAUAUUAGUGUCUAUCAUUGGUUAUUUUAUUUCACAUUGUGCUUCCAGAAUUCUUCCUUGUGAGACAUCAAGAUAUUGAUUUAAAUCUCUAUCUCAAUUUGCUAAUACUCAUUAAAUUCUAAAAAAUUAAAAGGCUGGAUGCCUUAGAACCAGGAGAUGGAAAUAAAUUAAUACCUGUGGAUACA